RNAcentral lists this transfer RNA (82 nucleotides) under Ipomoea nil (Japanese morning glory). It matches the Rfam family "tRNA". From Rfam's summary of the family: Transfer RNA (tRNA) molecules are approximately 80 nucleotides in length. Their secondary structure includes four short double-helical elements and three loops (D, anti-codon, and T loops). Lineage: Eukaryota; Viridiplantae; Streptophyta; Magnoliopsida; Solanales; Convolvulaceae. The record is from Rfam by way of RNAcentral.
GUUGGUAUGUCCGAGUGGUUAAGGAGACAAAUUUGAAAUCUGUUGGGCUUUGCCCGCGCAUGUUCAAGUCCUGCUGCCGACG